ACGGGAGGCAGCAGUGAGGAAUAUUGGUCAAUGGGCGGAAGCCUGAACCAGCCAAGUCGCGUGAAGGAUGAAGGUAUUAUGUAUUGUAAACUUCUUUAGCAGCAGAGUAAUAAGGCCCUCGUGAGGGCUGAUGCAAGUAUGCUGAAAAUAAGGAUCGGCUAACUCCGUGCCAGCAGCCGCGGUAAUACGGAAGGUCCGGGCGUUAUCCGGAUUUAUUGGGUUUAAAGGGAGCGUAGGCGGUAUUUUAAGCGUGUUGUGAAAUGUAGAUGCUCAACAUCUGAAUUGCAGCACGAACUGGAGUACUUGAGUGCGCAGGAAGUUGGCGGAAUUCGUCGUGUAGCGGUGAAAUGCUUAGAUAUGACGAAGAACUCCGAUUGCGAAGGCAGCUGACUGUAGCGUAACUGACGCUGAAGCUCGAAGGUGCGGGUAUCGAACAGGAUUAGAUACCCUGGUA
RNAcentral lists this ribosomal RNA (454 nucleotides) under uncultured Prevotella sp. RNAcentral describes it as "partial 16S ribosomal RNA". It matches the Rfam family "Bacterial small subunit ribosomal RNA", at positions 341 to 792 of the family's 1533-position model. The record is from RNAcentral. Lineage: Bacteria; Pseudomonadati; Bacteroidota; Bacteroidia; Bacteroidales; Prevotellaceae.